UACGUAGGGGGCUAGCGUUGUCCGGAAUCAUUGGGCGUAAAGCGCGCGUAGGCGGCUCGGUAAGUCCGCUGUGAAAGUCGGGGGCUCAACCCUCGGAUGCCGGUGGAUACUGUCGGACUAGAGUACGGAAGAGGCGAGUGGAAUUCCUGGUGUAGAGGUGAAAUGCGCAGAUAUCAGGAGGAACACCGAUUGCGAAGGCAGCUCGCUGGGACGUUACUGACGCUGAGACGCGAAAGCGUGGGGAGCAAACAGG
RNAcentral lists this ribosomal RNA (253 nucleotides) under uncultured bacterium. Its description in RNAcentral is "partial 16S ribosomal RNA". It matches the Rfam family "Bacterial small subunit ribosomal RNA", at positions 524 to 776 of the family's 1533-position model. The record is from RNAcentral.